GAGUUUGAUCCUGGCUCAGGGUGAACGCUGGCGGCGUGCUUAACACAUGCAAGUCGAACGGACUUAAGGGGCUUGCUUCUUAAGUUAGUGGCGCACGGGUGAGUAAUAUAUAGCUAACCUGCCCUUUAGUGGGGGACAACAGUUGGAAACGACUGCUAAUACCCUAUACUCCUUCUUACUAUAAGGUAAGUUGGGAAAGAUUUAUCGCUAAAGGAUGGGGCUUUAUUGUAUCAGCUAGUUGGUGGGGUAAUGGCCUACCAAGGCUAUGACGCAUACCUGGUCUGAGAGGAUGAUCAGGCACACUGGAACUGAGACACGGUCCAGGCUCCUACGGGAGGCAGCAGUGGGGAAUAUUGCACAAUGGAGGAAACUCUGAUGCAGCAACGCCGCGUGGAGGAUGACGCAUUUCGGUGUGUAAACUCCUUUUAUAGGGGAAGAUAAUGACGGUACCCUAUGAAUAAGCACCGGCUAACUCCGUGCCAGCAGCCGCGGUAAUACGGAGGGUGCAAGCGUUACUCGGAAUCACUGGGCGUAAAGGAUGCGUAGGCUGGAAAUCAAGUCGAGAGUGAAAUCCAACGGCUCAACCGUUGAACUGCUCUCGAAACUGGUUACCUAGAAUAUGGGAGAGGUAGAUGGAAUUAGUGGUGUAGGGGUAAAAUCCGU
RNAcentral lists this ribosomal RNA (663 nucleotides) under uncultured bacterium. RNAcentral's name for it is "bacterial SSU rRNA". It matches the Rfam family "Bacterial small subunit ribosomal RNA", at positions 9 to 691 of the family's 1533-position model. The record is from RNAcentral.